UGCAAAUACAGUGAUGCGGUGUAAUUAUUUUUGUGGAGUCUAAAUCAAACACAAACAUUAAGUUCUCAUCACAAUAAAUACAUACAACCUAUUUUGCUUCAUCUAAAUCCGUUGAAAACAAUCGCUGUAAUUUUGUUCUUCUAUGGAAUCAAAAAAAAAAAAAAAAAACAAAUUGCAUCAAUCCAUCUAGAAGAAGGAGCCAAAUACUUCAAUAGAAUAAGCGAUUAUGUCACAUUCUUCAUCAUAAAAGAAGAUGACAAACAGUUAGCUGUAUGAUUGUAUCAACCGGUCAAUCUUUUGAAGGUUCUCUCAGCUGUUCAUAUAAAAGCAUGGAUUCGGCUGGAGGGUCUUCAAUUCCUGAUUCCUCAUUUUCAUGAUUGGCCUCCAACAUAGGCCUUAUCUUCUCAUAUUGAGCAUUUGAGAGUUCACCUUGAUAUUGUUCAAAUGCCCUUGGAUGAUUUUUGUAUUCAUUCAUCAAGCCAUUUUGAAGACUAGUUUUAUAUAUAUAUAUAUAUAUAUAUAUAUAUAUAUAUAUAAAAAUUAUGGUCAAUGGGAAGGUCCCAAUGACUAUUUUAUUAUUAAUAAAUCAAAAGGAGUCUAACACUUAAAAACAAAGAAACAAAAACUAAAGAAUACGUACCGAUAGAAAUGUUUAGAACUAAAAUUAGGAAAGUGUGCUCUUGUCUUUGGGAUUUCAUCUUCCACAUUGAGAAUCUGUAGGCUUCUACCCUUCUUCCUUUUGAUCUUUCUCAUCUGAGCUUUAAGAUCUGUACCAUAACAAUCCAAAUAAAGCUGAACUUUGUCUAUUUUCAUCGCAAAUUGAAGAUGUAUUCAUCUAAUUUGGUGUUGAUUGAAAGGUAUCUCAAUGUAUUGCCCUUGCACUUCAGGUGUUAGCAUCUGCUGCUCAUCAUUUUCUUUCAUGGCCCCAUCAGGUGGUUCUUCUGGUAUUAUUCGUCAUAAUUGUUCCAUAUCCGGCCAUCCAUAAGAGAAUUUCCCCACAACUGCAUGCUGCAAAUUUUCAAUCACAUCCAUUCGGGCUACAUCAUCUUCAGUACAUUUGACAUAAAGUUCCCUUUGUAAAAAAGAUAUUGGUUUGAUUGGUAUUUGUGGUAUUUGUUGUCUCUCUAGGUUUACUGUAUCAUUCAAAACUGCAGGUUUAAGUAGGCUAGCGGAUUGUAUUUUGGUAGGGUUGGUUUGUGGUAUAAUAUCAUAUGAUGUGGUUGUUAAUGAAGGCUGGCCAGCCACCAUGGUGGACUGACCAGCAGCCAUGGAGGCCAUGAUCACCGAUCUUGAGAUUUAUUUUUUAGGUUUUGCAUGAAAAUAGGAAGAGAGAGAAGAUAGGCUUUUUUUUCUUGUCCAGAAAAUACUUUCGGAGACUAGUUUCCAAGUACUCCUCCAAGGCUUUUUGUUUUUCAUUUCCUCCUUCAAGUAGACAUUCCAUCAUGA
Molecule: long non-coding RNA, 1446 nt
Organism: Lycium barbarum (goji berry)
Lineage: Eukaryota; Viridiplantae; Streptophyta; Magnoliopsida; Solanales; Solanaceae
Exons: 5
Source: RefSeq, a predicted model, not a curated record